ACGCUCGACACCUACGGGAGCAGCAGUGGGGAAUAUUGCACAAUGGGGGAAACCCUGAUGCAGCGACGCCGCGUGAGUGAAGAAGUAUUUCGGUAUGUAAAGCUCUAUCAGCAGGGAAGAAGAUGACGGUACCUGAGUAAGAAGCCCCGGCUAACUACGUGCCAGUAGCCGCCGGGUAAGUACUUCGAGCGGGCGUGGCGAAGGACG
This 207-nucleotide ribosomal RNA is filed under the name uncultured bacterium. RNAcentral's name for it is "partial 16S ribosomal RNA". It matches the Rfam family "Bacterial small subunit ribosomal RNA", at positions 328 to 538 of the family's 1533-position model. The record is from RNAcentral.